UCCUACGGGAGGCAGCAGUGAGGAAUAUUGGUCAAUGGGCGAGAGCCUGGACCAGCCAAGUAGCGUGCAGGACGACGGCCCUAUGGGUUGUAAACUGCUUUUAUGCGGGGAUAAAGUUCACUACGUGUAGUGUUUUGCAGGUACCGCAUGAAUAAGGACCGGCUAAUUCCGUGCCAGCAGCCGCGGUAAUACGGAAGGUCCGGGCGUUAUCCGGAUUUAUUGGGUUUAAAGGGAGCGCAGGCCGGAGGUCAAGCGUGACGUGAAAUGUAGCCGCUCAACGGCUGAACUGCGUCGCGAACUGGCUUUCUUGAGUGAGUUCGAUGUGGGCGGAAUUCGUGGUGUAGCGGUGAAAUGCUUAGAUAUCACGAAGAACUCCGAUUGCGAAGGCAGCCCACAAGGCCUUUACUGACGCUAAAGCUCGAAGGUGCGGGUAUCGAACAGGAUUAGAUACCCUGGUAGUCC
This 462-nucleotide ribosomal RNA is filed under the name uncultured bacterium. Its description in RNAcentral is "bacterial SSU rRNA". It matches the Rfam family "Bacterial small subunit ribosomal RNA", at positions 337 to 796 of the family's 1533-position model. The record is from RNAcentral.